GAUGAACGCUGGCGGCGUGCUUAACACAUGCAAGUCGAACGGAGUGCCUUUGAAAGAGGAUUCGUCCAAUUGAUAAGGUUACUUAGUGGCGGACGGGUGAGUAACGCGUGAGGAACCUGCCUUGGAGUGGGGAAUAACACAGUGAAAAUUGUGCUAAUACCGCAUAAUGCAGUUGGGUCGCAUGACUCUGACUGCCAAAGAUUUAUCGCUCUGAGAUGGCCUCGCGUCUGAUUAGCUAGUUGGUGGGGUAACGGCCCACCAAACCGACGAUGGAUAGGGGUUCUGAGAGGAAGGUCCCCCACAUUGGUACUGAGACACGGACCAAACUCCUGCGGGAGGCAGCAGUGAGGAAUAUUGGUCAAUGGGGCGUAAGCCUGAACCAGCCAAGUCGCGUGAGGGAUGG
Molecule: ribosomal RNA, 403 nt
Filed under: uncultured bacterium
Lineage: Bacteria
Description: bacterial SSU rRNA
Rfam family: Bacterial small subunit ribosomal RNA
Source: RNAcentral